This 464-nucleotide ribosomal RNA is filed under the name uncultured bacterium. Its description in RNAcentral is "partial 16S ribosomal RNA". It matches the Rfam family "Bacterial small subunit ribosomal RNA", at positions 28 to 507 of the family's 1533-position model. The record is from RNAcentral.
GACGAACGCUGGCGGCGUGCCUAACACAUGCAAGUCGAGCGAAUGAAGUUCCUUCGGGAACGGAUUUAGCGGCGGACGGGUGAGUAACACGUGGGCAACCUGCCUCAUAGAGGGGAAUAGCCUUCCGAAAGGGAGAUUAAUACCGCAUAAGAUUGUAGUACCGCAUGGUACAGCAAUUAAAGGAGCACUCCGCUAUGAGAUGGGCCCGCGGCGCAUUAGCUAGUUGGUGAGGUAACGGCUCACCAAGGCGACGAUGCGUAGCCGACCUGAGAGGGUGGACGGUCACAAUGGGACUGAGACACGGCCCAGACUCCUACGGGAGGCAGGAGAGGGGGAUAAUGCACGAUGGGGGAAACCCUGAUGCAGCAACGCCGCGUGAGUGAUGACGGCCUUCGGGUUGUAAAGCUCUGUCUUCAGAGACGAUAAUGACGGUACCUGAGGAGGAAGCCACGGCUAACUACGUG